UACGUAGGGCGCAAGCGUUGUCCGGAAUUAUUGGGCGUAAAGAGCUCGUAGGCGGCUUGUCACGUCGGGUGUGAAAGCCCGGGGCUUAACCCCGGGUCUGCAUUCGAUACGGGCAGGCUAGAGUGUGGUAGGGGAGAUCGGAAUUCCUGGUGUAGCGGUGAAAUGCGCAGAUAUCAGGAGGAACACCGGUGGCGAAGGCGGAUCUCUGGGCCUUACCUGACACUGAGGAGCGAAAGCGUGGGGAGCGAACAGG
This 253-nucleotide ribosomal RNA is filed under the name uncultured bacterium. RNAcentral's name for it is "partial 16S ribosomal RNA". It matches the Rfam family "Bacterial small subunit ribosomal RNA", at positions 524 to 776 of the family's 1533-position model. The record is from RNAcentral.